Molecule: non-coding RNA, 961 nt
Organism: Camellia sinensis
Lineage: Eukaryota; Viridiplantae; Streptophyta; Magnoliopsida; Ericales; Theaceae
Source: RefSeq, a predicted model, not a curated record
GAUCAAUUCUUCAAGUUCUCCCAGAAAUCAAUCUUCUUCAAAUCAUAAACUAAUGUUGUGGAUGUUUUAUGAAAUUUUCAUGUUUUCAUCUAUUGGCAGAGAGGUGGUAAGAGUGGUCAUUUGUUUGUGGAUACAAAGACAACUUAGGAUCUGCAUAGCCCUUCAUUAAACCAAAGGGAUCUUUCAGAAAUAGAGGACAAACCACAAAAAUCUCUUAAUGAGAAACAGCAAGAGAAUCAAGAGCUUUUUAUCCGAUGUAUUGGACAACACCUAGGCUUCGCAGGGAACAGACCAAUUGCUGCUUGUAUCAUCUACAAAUGCCUUCUACAGUGGAGAUCUUUUGAAGUUGAGCAGACUAGUGUGUUUGACCGAAUCAUUCGAACCAUAGGCCAUGCUAUCGAGACCCAGCAUAACAAUGACAUCUUAGUCUAUUGGUUGUCUAAUUCCUCAUCUCUUCUGCUGCUACUCCAGCGUACAUUGAAAGCAAAUGGUGCCGCUAGAAUGGGCGCCGUCGAUUAUCCUCGGCUACUCUGUUUGGAAGGAUGACACAGAGUUUCCGAGGAACUCCGCAAGGAGUUAAUCUUUCCUUUGUAAAUGGUGGCCUGACUGGUGGAACAGAAGCUUUACACCAAGUUGAAGCCAAAUACCCAGCUUUGCUUUUCAAGCAGCAACUUACAGCAUUUGUAGAAAAGAUUUAUGGAAUGAUUCGAGAUAGCCUUAAGAAAGAGAUUUCUCCAUUGCUUGGGUUGUGCAUCCAGGUAAUUGAAUCUGUUGGGUAAUAUGAGUCAUUCAUCUUCCCAGGUAAGAAAUACUUCUUUACAUAUUUUUGGUCAAUUCUCAGAUCAUGUCAUUGUAGUUAAUAUACAUUAAUGGAUCAAAUUGAUGGUUCUCAUCACACACAUACUCAUUUAGUGUAUGCUAAUGCUUGAAAUGGUGUGUGGCCUUGUUACAUUCGGGGAGG